GAUGAACGCUGGCGGCGUGCCUAGUACAUGCAAGUCGAGCGAACGGAUGAGAAGCUUGCUUCUCUGAUGUUAGCGGCGGACGGGUGAGUAACACGUGGAUAACCUACCUAUAAGACUGGGAUAACUUCGGGAAACCGGAGCUAAUACCGGAUAAUAUUUUGAACCGCAUGGUUCAAAAGUGAAAGACGGUCUUGCUGUCACUUAUAGAUGGAUCCGCGCUGCAUUAGCUAGUUGGUAAGGUAACGGCUUACCAAGGCAACGAUGCAUAGCCGACCUGAGAGGGUGAUCGGCCACACUGGAACUGAGACACGGUCCAGACUCCUACGGGAGGCAGCAGUAGGGAAUCUUCCGCAAUGGGCGAAAGCCUGACGGAGCAACGCCGCGUGAGUGAUGAAGGUCUUCGGAUCGUAAAACUCUGUUAUUAGGGAAGAACAUAUGUGUAAGUAACUGUGCACAUCUUGACGGUACCUAAUCAGAAAGCCACGGCUAACUACGUG
Molecule: ribosomal RNA, 497 nt
Filed under: uncultured bacterium
Lineage: Bacteria
Description: partial 16S ribosomal RNA
Rfam family: Bacterial small subunit ribosomal RNA
Source: RNAcentral